This 1346-nucleotide ribosomal RNA is filed under the name uncultured bacterium. RNAcentral's name for it is "bacterial SSU rRNA". It matches the Rfam family "Bacterial small subunit ribosomal RNA", at positions 28 to 1381 of the family's 1533-position model. The record is from RNAcentral.
GACGAACGCUGGCGGCGUGCUUAACACAUGCAAGUCGAACGGAAAGGCCCUGCUUUUGUGGGGUGCUCGAGUGGCGAACGGGUGAGUAACACGUGAGUAACCUGCCCUUGACUUUGGGAUAACUUCAGGAAACUGGGGCUAAUACCGGAUAGGAGCUCCUGCUGCAUGGUGGGGGUUGGAAAGUUUCGGCGGUUGGGGAUGGACUCGCGGCUUAUCAGCUUGUUGGUGGGGUAGUGGCUUACCAAGGCUUUGACGGGUAGCCGGCCUGAGAGGGUGACCGGCCACAUUGGGACUGAGAUACGGCCCAGACUCCUACGGGAGGCAGCAGUGGGGAAUAUUGCACAAUGGGCGGAAGCCUGAUGCAGCAACGCCGCGUGCGGGAUGACGGCCUUCGGGUUGUAAACCGCUUUCGCCUGUGACGAAGCGUGAGUGACGGUAAUGGGUAAAGAAGCACCGGCUAACUACGUGCCAGCAGCCGCGGUGAUACGUAGGGUGCGAGCGUUGUCCGGAUUUAUUGGGCGUAAAGGGCUCGUAGGUGGUUGAUCGCGUCGGAAGUGUAAUCUUGGGGCUUAACCCUGAGCGUGCUUUCGAUACGGGUUGACUUGAGGAAGGUAGGGGAGAAUGGAAUUCCUGGUGGAGCGGUGGAAUGCGCAGAUAUCAGGAGGAACACCAGUGGCGAAGGCGGUUCUCUGGGCCUUUCCUGACGCUGAGGAGCGAAAGCGUGGGGAGCGAACAGGCUUAGAUACCCUGGUAGUCCACGCUGUAAACGGUGGGUACUAGGUGUGGGGUCCAUUCCACGGGUUCCGUGCCGUAGCUAACGCUUUAAGUACCCCGCCUGGGGAGUACGGCCGCAAGGCUAAAACUCAAAGGAAUUGACGGGGCCCCGCACAAGCGGCGGAGCAUGCGGAUUAAUUCGAUGCAACGCGUAGAACCUUACCUGGGUUUGACAUGGAUCGGGAGUGCUCAGAGAUGGGUGUGCCUCUUUUGGGGUCGGUUCACAGGUGGUGCAUGCCUGUCGUCAGCUCGUGUCGUGAGAUGUUGGGUUAAGUCCCGCAACGAGCGCAACCCUUGUUCACUGUUGCCAGCACGUUAUGGUGGGGACUCAGUGGAGACCGCCGGGGUCAACUCGGAGGAGGGUGGGGAUGACGUCAAGUCCUCAUGCCCCUUAUGUCCAGGGCUUCACGCAUGCUACAAUGGCUGGUACAGAGAGUGGCGAGCCUGUGAGGGUGAGCGAAUCUCGGAAAGCCGGUCUCAGUUCGGAUUGGGGUCUGCAACUCGACCUCAUGAAGUCGGAGUCGCUAGUAAUCGCAGAUCAGCAACGCUGCGGUGAAUACGUUCCCGGGGCU